Molecule: long non-coding RNA, 292 nt
Filed under: Amborella trichopoda
Lineage: Eukaryota; Viridiplantae; Streptophyta; Magnoliopsida; Amborellales; Amborellaceae
Description: long non-coding RNA (ATRI_LNC003718)
Source: RNAcentral
UUUAUUCUGACCGAUUCACCCGAUUCCGAUCCGGAUAGCCGAUUCGCCGAUCCGGAUCGCCGAUUCGCCGAUCCGGAUCGGUUUUUAAAAAGCCCGAUCCGGGUCACCGAUCCGGUUUUUAAACCAUUGGUAAUUACUAUCCCCUCUUUCCAUCGUUUGGAAUAUGGAAAGAAUAUUAUAGAACUCAUGACUAUGAAUAUGGGUAAUCCAUAGUUAUCAUGGUCAUCAGGGUUACCAUUUUUUAAAAUUCAAUAUGACUUUUUAUGUUUGAUAAUUCAUGACAGUCGUACUG